RNAcentral lists this ribosomal RNA (259 nucleotides) under Enterobacter asburiae. RNAcentral's name for it is "partial 16S ribosomal RNA". It matches the Rfam family "Bacterial small subunit ribosomal RNA", at positions 1 to 256 of the family's 1533-position model. RNAcentral also lists the same sequence under 1 other name. Lineage: Bacteria; Pseudomonadati; Pseudomonadota; Gammaproteobacteria; Enterobacterales; Enterobacteriaceae. The record is from RNAcentral.
AAAUUGAAGAGUUUGAUCAUGGCUCAGAUUGAACGCUGGCGGCAGGCCUAACACAUGCAAGUCGAGCGGCAGCGGAAAGUAGCUUGCUACUUUGCCGGCGAGCGGCGGACGGGUGAGUAAUGUCUGGGAAACUGCCUGAUGGAGGGGGAUAACUACUGGAAACGGUAGCUAAUACCGCAUAACGUCGCAAGACCAAAGAGGGGGACCUUCGGGCCUCUUGCCAUCAGAUGUGCCCAGAUGGGAUUAGCUAGUAGGUGGG